Molecule: long non-coding RNA, 1863 nt
Organism: Venturia canescens
Lineage: Eukaryota; Metazoa; Arthropoda; Insecta; Hymenoptera; Ichneumonidae
Exons: 2
Source: RefSeq, a predicted model, not a curated record
GGUGAGAGCGAAGGGCACCCGGUGUCUUCGAUGGGAGCUCGGGUCGGGUGGGUGUCGAGGGACGAGGAAAAAUGUGUGUGAGGGAAAAAGAGCGAGACCCACGAGCGGCGCUCCCGAUAGGACGAGAAGCUCGCGAGCUGCCGGAGGGCGCAGCGGCGAAGGGCCGCCACCGAAGAGCGAUAGAAGGGCGGGCUGGGACGAAGAGAGGGAACGAGGCACAUGAGUGCGACACGGAACGAGCAAAGUUCAGGGGAUUCCCCCUUGAGAGGAAAUUUAUUACACUAUCAAAGCACCCGCUGGAAAAUCGAGGAAUCGGAAAAAGUCUGAAAAGCUCGAUAAAACGAAUGCGAAAGUUUUUCGUUUUUUCCAACUCGAGCUACGGGAAUGAUACAAUCGCGGUGGCGAGCGCGAAGAGAAAAAGUGCAACGAUGCGUCGGGGCGUUGAGAUUCUCGAAGCCUCGCUUUCCCCUGCCAAAGAAGAGUCACGAGAGCGAGAAAACUUGAGCAGGUAGAUACAAAGAACUUGAAAAUGUGCAGGGGGUCGAAUACGCGGCACUCGAACGAGAAAUACGAUUGGAAAAAUAGCGGGACGAGGAGAGAUGGAAGUCGUUACUAUUACGUGGUGUCUAAUAAGCAGGAAAGAACGACGGAGAGAGAAGACGGCGGCACGCACUCAUCCGCUAUUAAUAGAAACUUGCUCAAAAUUCUAUUUCGAGUCUCCGGUUUUCUCGCGCGUCUUGGUGGAUCUUUUACACGUACGCUAGUCCUCCCUCUCUAAUAUCGAGGCGUGUACUAUACGUCGGAGUACAUAAAAAGCGGGUAGUUUGCAGAGAAAAAGUGCUUAAAUCCGCAGGGCUAUGGAAGUGGAGGCUCACACGGAAACUUUGCUGCUAACUCGCUCCGAGCAAUGAUUCGAUGAGAGUCAAACCGUCAGAGUCAUGAGGCUGAUCAUUUUUUCUCGAAUCUUGAGAUUCGAGAACAUGCAUUUAUCGAUUAAAUAUUUCGACUCGAAGCGUAUUUCUUUGGAGACGAUAACCAGACUGAGAAAUCAAACUUCGGCGUUGCACACGCGACGCGAUAGACAUAACACGAGAAAUUGAGCGAGGUUCGAAGAGCUCCUCCACAGCACGAAGGAGCAAGAACUUUUGCUGAUUCGACAAACUUUGAUGACACAGAAAUUCAUGAUUCUGUGCCUCAUCAGCAAAUUAACGAACGAGCAUAAAAAUCGGAGCAAAAUUGCAAAGUUACUAAUACACUGGGAAAAACAAAAUCAUUGCAACAACUGAAUGUCCUUAGUUGAUAUUUUCGUUGCUUGAUUUAACUAACAUCCGCUUGCGGUAAAUAAAGUUCAUCUGUUCGAAUCACUGAAUUUUUGUUCAUGCGAAUUACCUAAGCGAGUGAAACCAAUUAUCUUGUUCGAAAAACUCGAAACAUUUGUUUAUUUCUACUUAAUUUACAUACACCUUUAUCUAUUUAUUUGAAUAUCAAGAACUGAAGUGUCCAAACGGUUUUGUUGAGAUGAUCAAUAUUUUGUAAAUCGAAUCGUACGGAUCGGUUCAAUACGACUCAAAAUUUGUUGAAAUUUAUUAUUGCUAAUCCAACAGGAUUUUUGCAAAAUAACAAAUCGUUUCACGCAGCUUAACAAAAUCUUAUCGAUGACGAACCAAACCAGUUGUCCAUGCAAAUGUCUACCUUAAAAUAAAGUUCAGUAUAUUGUAUUCGGUAAAUCAACCAAAUUUCUGCCCGAUCGAAUACUUGAUUUUCUUUAUUUCACUUAGUGUUACGAAAAACUUUUUUGCAUGUAUUCCUAGUUUUCGGACGCAUUAAGCGUGUUUGAUAAUCAAAUAAAUGAAUUUUCUAUUA